GGGUCAGUAGGUUGGUCGUGCCACCGGUACGUACUGGUCUCACUGAUUCCUCCUUCCUGAAGAACCGUAAUGCCAUUAAUUUGGCGUUGCGGGGAAACAGGACUGUUACUUUGAAAAAAUUAGAGUGUUUAAAGCAAGCUAACGCUCGAAUACAUUAUCAUGGAAUAAUGAAAUAGGACGAUCGAUCCUAUUUUGUUGGUUUCUAGGAUUGACGUA
RNAcentral lists this ribosomal RNA (216 nucleotides) under Glomeromycotina sp. RNAcentral describes it as "partial small subunit ribosomal RNA". The stretch from base 40 to 216 matches the Rfam family "Eukaryotic small subunit ribosomal RNA", at positions 686 to 864 of the family's 1831-position model. The record is from RNAcentral. Lineage: Eukaryota; Fungi; Glomeromycota.